CCUACGGGAGGCAGCAGUGGGGAAUAUUGCACAAUGGGCGGAAGCCUGAUGCAGCAACGCCGCGUGCGGGAUGACGGCCUUCGGGUUGUAAACCGCUUUCGCCUGUGACGAAGCGUGAGUGACGGUAAUGGGUAAAGAAGCACCGGCUAACUACGUGCCAGCAGCCGCGGUGAUACGUAGGGUGCGAGCGUUGUCCGGAUUUAUUGGGCGUAAAGGGCUCGUAGGUGGUUGAUCGCGUCGGAAGUGUAAUCUUGGGGCUUAACCCUGAGCGUGCUUUCGAUACGGGUUGACUUGAGGAAGGUAGGGGAGAAUGGAAUUCCUGGUGGAGCGGUGGAAUGCGCAGAUAUCAGGAGGAACACCAGUGGCGAAGGCGGUUCUCUGGGCCUUUCCUGACGCUGAGGAGCGAAAGCGUGGGGAGCGAACUGGCUUAGAUACCCUGGUAGUCCACGCUGUAAACGGUGGGUACUAGGUGUGGGGUCCAUUCCACGGGUUCCGUGCCGUAGCUAACGCUAUAAGUACCCCGCCUGGGGAGUACGGCCGCAAGGCUAAAACUCAAAGGAAUUGACGGGGCCCCGCACAAGCGGCGGAGCAUGCGGAUUAAUUCGAUGCAACGCGUAGAACCUUACCUGGGUUUGACAUGGAUCGGGAGCGCUCAGAGAUGGGUGUGCCUCUUUUGGGGUCGGUUCACAGGUGGUGCAUGGCUAUCGUCAGCUCGUGUCGUGAGAUGUUGGGUUAAGUCCCGCAACGAGCGCAACCCUUGUUCACUGUUGCCAGCACGUUAUGGUGGGGACUCAGUGGAGACCGCCGGGGUCAACUCGGAGGAAGGUGGGGAUGACGUCAAGUCAUCAUGCCCCUUAUGUCCAGGGCUUCACGCAUGCUACAAUGGCUGGUACAGAGAGUGGCGAGCCUGUGAGGGUGAGCGAAUCUCGGAAAGCCGGUCUCAGUUCGGAUUGGGGUCUGCAACUCGACCUCAUGAAGUCGGAGUCGCUAGUAAUCGCAGAUCAGCAACGCUGCGG
Molecule: ribosomal RNA, 1016 nt
Filed under: uncultured Propionibacterium sp.
Lineage: Bacteria; Bacillati; Actinomycetota; Actinomycetes; Propionibacteriales; Propionibacteriaceae
Description: bacterial SSU rRNA
Rfam family: Bacterial small subunit ribosomal RNA
Source: RNAcentral